GUGAAUCAUCAAAUUUUUGAACGCAAAUUGCACUCUCUUCGGAGAGUAGGCCUGUUUGAGGGUCAGCCUAAAAAAAAAAUCGACAUAGUCGCUGUUUCGCGGUGACAUUCAUCGGAAAUUGGGUCAUCUUAAACCUUUUGGUUUUAAGCUGCUUAAAAUCUUCUUUACUGUUCCACGAACUUUUCUGAGUUUUACUUAUGAUACUUGUAAGGUAUCGAUCUGUAUUAGACUUUGCCGUUGCAUCAGAU
RNAcentral lists this unclassified non-coding RNA (248 nucleotides) under Glomus sp. Its description in RNAcentral is "partial contains 5.8S ribosomal RNA and internal transcribed spacer 2". The stretch from base 1 to 65 matches the Rfam family "5.8S ribosomal RNA", at positions 84 to 154 of the family's 154-position model. Lineage: Eukaryota; Fungi; Glomeromycota; Glomeromycetes; Glomerales; Glomeraceae. The record is from RNAcentral.